This 406-nucleotide ribosomal RNA is filed under the name uncultured bacterium. Its description in RNAcentral is "partial 16S ribosomal RNA". It matches the Rfam family "Bacterial small subunit ribosomal RNA", at positions 30 to 526 of the family's 1533-position model. The record is from RNAcentral.
AUUGAACGCUGGCGGCAGGCCUAACACAUGCAAGUCGAACGAGUGGCGGACGGGUGAGUAAUGUCUGGGAAACUGCCUGAUGGAGGGGGAUAACUACUGGCAACGGUAGCUAAUACCGCAUACCAUCGGAUGUGCCCAGCUGGUAUUAGCUAGUAGGUGGGGUAAAGGCUCACUUAGGCGACGAUCCCUAGCUGGUCUGCGAGGAUGACCAGCAACACUGGAACUGAGACACGGGCCAGACUCCUACGGGAGGCAGAAGUGGGGAUUAUUGCACAAGGGGCGAAAGCCUGAUGCAGCCAUGCCGCGUGUAUGAAGAAGGCCUUCGGGUUGUAAAGUACUUUCAGCGGGGAGGCGUUACCGACAGAAGAAGCACCGGCUAACUCCGUGCCAGCAGCCGCGGUAAUAC